RNAcentral lists this ribosomal RNA (203 nucleotides) under Bacillus anthracis (anthrax bacterium). Its description in RNAcentral is "partial 16S ribosomal RNA". It matches the Rfam family "Bacterial small subunit ribosomal RNA", at positions 151 to 347 of the family's 1533-position model. The record is from RNAcentral. Lineage: Bacteria; Bacillati; Bacillota; Bacilli; Caryophanales; Bacillaceae.
GGGAAACCGGGGCUAAUACCGGAUAACAUUUUGAACCGCAUGGUUCGAAAUUGAAAGGUGGCUUCGGCUGCCACUUAUGGAUGGACCCGCGUCGCAUUAGCUAGUUGGUGAGGUAACGGCUCACCAAGGCAAUGAUGCGUAGCCGACCUGAGAGGGUGAUCGGCCACACUGGGACUGAGACACGGCCCAGACUCCUACGGGAG